Molecule: ribosomal RNA, 253 nt
Filed under: uncultured bacterium
Lineage: Bacteria
Description: partial 16S ribosomal RNA
Rfam family: Bacterial small subunit ribosomal RNA
Source: RNAcentral
UACGUAGGGUGCAAGCGUUAAUCGGAAUUACUGGGCGUAAAGCGUGCACAGGCGGUUUUGUAAGUCAGAUGUGAAAUCCCCGGGCUUAACCUGGGAACUGCGUUUGAAACUACAAGGCUAGAGUGUGGCAGAGGGGGGUGGAAUUCCACGUGUAGCAGUGAAAUGCGUAGAGAUGUGGAGGAACACCGAUGGCGAAGGCAGCCCCCUGGGUUAACACUGACGCUCAGGCACGAAAGCGUGGGGAGCAAACAGG